AGAGUUGAUCCUGGCUCAGGACGAACGCUGGCGGCGUGCCUAAUACAUGCAAGUCGAGCGGACUAAUGGGAGCUUGCUCCCAUUAGUUAGCGGCGGACGGGUGAGUAACACGUGGGCAACCUGCCCUGUAGACUGGGAUAACACCGAGAAAUCGGUGCUAAUACCGGGUAAUAGAUUGGAUCGCAUGAUCCAAUCAUAAAAGAUGGCUUCGGCUAUCACUACAGGAUGGGCCCGCGGCGCAUUAGCUAGUUGGUAAGGUAAUGGCUUACCAAGGCGACGAUGCGUAGCCGACCUGAGAGGGGUGAUCGGCCACACUGGGACUGAGACACGGCCCAGACUCCUACGGGAGGCAGCAGUAGGGAAUCUUCCGCAAUGGACGAAAGUCUGACGGAGCAACGCCGCGUGAGUGAUGAAGGGUUUCGGCUCGUAAAGCUCUGUUGUUAGGGAAGAACAAGUACCGUUCAAAUAGGGCGGUACCUUGACGGUACCUAACCAGAAAGCCACGGCUAACUACGUGCCAGCAGCCGCGGUAAUACGUAGGUGGCAAGCGUUGUCCGGAAAUUAUUGGGCGUAAAGCGCGCGCAGGCGGUCUCUUAAGUCUGAUGUGAAAAGCCCCCGGCUCAACCGGGGAGGGUCAUUGGAAACUGGGGAGACUUGAGUACAGAAGAGGAGAGUUGGAAUUCCACGUGUAGCGGUGAAAUGCGUAGAUNUGUGGAGGAACACCAGUGGCGAAGGCGACUCUCUGGUCUGUAACUGACGCUGAGGCGCGAAAAGCGUGGGGAGCAAACAGGAUUAGAUACCCUGGUAGUUCCAACGCCGUAAACUNGAAGUGCUAAGUUGUUAAGGGUUUUGAAUGCCCUUAGUGCCGAAGUUAACACAUUAAGCACUCCGCCUGGGGAGUACGACCGCAAGGUUGAAACUCAAAAGGAAUUGACGGGGGCCCGCACAAGCAGUGGAGCAUGUGGUUUAAUUCGAAGCAACGCGAAGAACCUUACCAGGUCUUGACAUCCUUUGACAACCCUAGAGAUAGGGCUUUCCCCUUCGGGGGACAAAGUGACAGGUGGUGCAUGGUUGUCGUCAGCUCGUGUCGUGAGAUGUUGGGUUAAGUCCCGCAACGAGCGCAACCCUUGAUCUUAGUUGCCAGCAUUCAGUUGGGCACUCUAAGGUGACUGCCGGUGAUAAAACCGGAGGAAGGUGGGGACGACGUCAAAUCAUCAUGCCCCUUAUGACCUGGGCUACACACGUGCUACAAUGGAUGGUACAAAGAGCAGCGAAACCGCGAGGUCGAGCCAAUCUCAUAAAGCCAUUCUCAGUUCGGAUUGUAGGCUGCAACUCGCCUACAUGAAGCCGGAAUUGCUAGUAAUCGCGGAUCAGCAUG
RNAcentral lists this ribosomal RNA (1378 nucleotides) under uncultured bacterium. Its description in RNAcentral is "bacterial SSU rRNA". It matches the Rfam family "Bacterial small subunit ribosomal RNA", at positions 8 to 1356 of the family's 1533-position model. The record is from RNAcentral.